Long non-coding RNA from Bos taurus (domestic cattle), 347 nucleotides. The record is from Ensembl. Lineage: Eukaryota; Metazoa; Chordata; Mammalia; Artiodactyla; Bovidae.
CCUCAGUACCUGCUGAGGUGCUCUGCAAUUUCUCCAAAGUCCUGGCCCAAUUCUAAAUGGAAAGAACAACAGAGUUGGAUCAGGGACGCAGAAGAAGGGAUGCCUCCCUGAGGGGAUGACUGGCUAAUAUGCUGCAACUGGAUAGCUGAAUUCUCCAAGUCCCAAGCUGAUAUAAGUUAAAAAAUUUAGCAGCAGAAGAAAAACAACCCUGGGUCACUAGCACCAGGGUCUACUCAAGAGAAAAUAAAUUGGACUAAGAGUGACUGAGAUUUUAAUAACUGGAAAUGACUGGAAAGCUAUAGAAAUCUGCUCAGAUAUCCUUAGGAGAUCUGUUACCCAGAAGGAAG